This 539-nucleotide ribosomal RNA is filed under the name uncultured bacterium. Its description in RNAcentral is "bacterial SSU rRNA". It matches the Rfam family "Bacterial small subunit ribosomal RNA", at positions 355 to 896 of the family's 1533-position model. The record is from RNAcentral.
UGAGGAAUAUUGGGCAAUGGAGGCAUCUCUGACCCAGCCAUGCCGCGUGCAGGAAGACGGCCCUAUGGGUUGUAAACUGCUUUUAUACAGGAAGAAACACUCGUACGUGUACGAGCUUGACGGUACUGUAAGAAUAAGGACCGGCUAACUCCGUGCCAGCAGCCGCGGUAAUACGGAGGGUCCGAGCGUUAUCCGGAAUCAUUGGGUUUAAAGGGUCCGCAGGCGGUCAAUUAAGUCAGAGGUGAAAUCCCAUAGCUUAACUAUGGAACUGCCUUUGAUACUGGUUGACUUGAGUCAUAUGGAAGUAGAUAGAAUGUGUAGUGUAGCGGUGAAAUGCAUAGAUAUUACACAGAAUACCGAUUGCGAAGGCAGUCUACUACGUAUGUACUGACGCUGAGGGACGAAAGCGUGGGGAGCGAACAGGAUUAGAUACCCUGGUAGUCCACGCCGUAAACGAUGGAUACUAGUUGUUGGGAUUUAUCUCAGUGACUAAGCGAAAGUGAUAAGUAUCCCACCUGGGGAGUACGCUCGCAAGACUG